Molecule: small RNA, 107 nt
Filed under: Marmota monax (woodchuck)
Lineage: Eukaryota; Metazoa; Chordata; Mammalia; Rodentia; Sciuridae
Source: RNAcentral
GUUGGGUGUAGUGGCUCACACCUGUAAUCCCAAGGACUCUGGAGGCUGAGGCAGGAGGAUCGAAAGUUGGAGGCCAGCCUCAGCAGCUUAGUGAGAGCCUGUUUCAA